Molecule: long non-coding RNA, 245 nt
Filed under: Setaria italica (foxtail millet)
Lineage: Eukaryota; Viridiplantae; Streptophyta; Magnoliopsida; Poales; Poaceae
Description: long non-coding RNA (SITA_LNC005373)
Source: RNAcentral
AAUUACUGUUACAGCACUGUAGCACACUGUAGCGUUUCGUUUGUAUUUGUGAAUUAUUGUCCAAAUAUUGACUAAUUAGGCUCAAAAGAUUCGUCUCGCAAAGUACAACAAAACUGUGCAAUUAGUUUUUAAUUUCAUCUACAUUUAGUACUCCAUGCAUGUACCGCAAGUUUGAUGUGAUGGGGAAUCUUCUUUUUGCAUAGUGUCAAAGUUGGGAGUUGGGAGUAACUAAACAUGGCCCAACA